Helianthus annuus (common sunflower) is the source of this 323-nucleotide long non-coding RNA. RefSeq lists it as uncharacterized. The record is from RefSeq and is a predicted model, not a curated record. The transcript has 3 exons. NCBI's taxonomy places the organism in Eukaryota, Viridiplantae, Streptophyta, Magnoliopsida, Asterales, Asteraceae.
GGUUUUGGCAAUUUUUUCCUUUUAAAAGUUUUUGGAGAAAACGGACUUGAAGUCGAUUUUUCUGAUCUAGACAUCGAAGUGCCUGAAGUUGCACCUAUCGAUGCUGAAAAUGAAGGUGAAGUACAAAUACAUGGUUCUGUUCGUCGUUUUAGACGUAUGGCUGGUGAACGUUAUUUUAGGAUUCCGGAUCCUGUUUCACGGAUGGCUAGACUUCAUGAAGGUUUAAAAGAUAUCACUGUUAGGCUUAUGCAUCUCGAUCCACCUAAGCAAUUUACCAACGGUACAAGACGGGAAAAAAAAACAGGAGGAGGUUGGCGAUACGC